Anopheles coluzzii is the source of this 833-nucleotide long non-coding RNA. RefSeq lists it as uncharacterized. The record is from RefSeq and is a predicted model, not a curated record. The transcript has 3 exons. Lineage: Eukaryota; Metazoa; Arthropoda; Insecta; Diptera; Culicidae.
AGAAGAUAUUUUUAAAUCCACCUUGCGUACGACAGAAUCAAAAAUUUUUGAUUUCGUCGGACGCCGCAUCCGAUUUUAUCUGUCAAACUAAAUGUGUGGUGUUUUGUAGGAACUAUCUCAACUUAAUUUUUCAUAAUCGUUAUAUUAUUAAAAUCAUCCAAAUAAUCGCAAUAUUAUACGAAAAAGCGUUUGACAGCACGUGCGAUAAAAUCGCAUGCGAUGGAGCACAGACACGGGCCUAAAUAACUAAAUAAUACCUGCAACAGUAGGGUUACCAAUAUUGAAACAUCCUUUAGCGCGCGGGAUGGUUACAUAUUCCGUCUUAUGGCCCACAGCCAAUUUAGUGCAGCAAAGUUUGGAUGGACGAAGCUAUGAUGCUUUAGACUUUGUUCAGAGUUUGAGGUAUGGAUUAUACGGUACAUUUUACGUUGCCCCGACGAUCUAUGGAUGGGUAAAGAUAACCAGCAUCAUGUGGCCAAAAAUUAAUUUACGUACUGCCAUGAUCAAAGCUAUUAUCGAGCAAGCUACAUAUGGGCCAUUUGCUGGCAUUAGUUUUUUAUAUAUUAUGUCAUUGACCGAAGGAAAGACAGCUGUAGAAGCAGUAAAAGAAGUAAAAUUGAAAUUCCCCACUACAUAUACAGUAGGUCUUGCAUUUUGGCCUUUUAUUCAAACAAUCAAUUUUGCUUGUAUACCCGAACGGAAUCGUGUGCUAUUUGUUGCAACCUGCAGUUUCGUAUGGACAGUUUUUCUAGCUUCUAUCAAAAAUAACUGUAUUUCGAAUCAAAACUAACAUCUGACGAAAUAAACAAAACUGCAACGUAGCAAACAGAAAA